UUUUUUUUUUUUUCCCUAAGGGAUUGAAAUUAUGGCUAGGAAGGUAUUAACAUACUGGGCCCCCAUCUUCCAGGUACAGAGACAUGUUCACUGAGAAAAGUAUCUUAAAACUAGCUUUACUUGACAUCGUUGGAAUAUUAAGUGAAGAACCUGACCCUGGAAAGGACAAGGUAACCUGCCUAAAGGUGUUCAUCUCUCAUCCCAAAAUCAAUAGGGGUUGAAACCUAAUCUUUCUAACUUUGUUUAAUGGGUAACAGAAAACAGUUUCUGGAUUCUUCACUAGUUUUAUCAUCAUCUUCUGGUGACAUCUACCACUCUCAACUUCUAGCAAUACUACUUACAAAGUCAAGCUCUCAGGUAUUCUUACCCAGUGAAGAAUUUAGUGAAAUGAUCGCUGCCCUGAAUGGAGAAUGACACUGUCAUUAGUCUAAGAUCAUAUUUUUUCCUUAGACUUGCUUGCAUUGUUGACUCGUGCUGAACCUAUAAACAGCUCAGACCUUACUAUCUGAGACUACUAGCAAUU
Non-coding RNA from Ictidomys tridecemlineatus (thirteen-lined ground squirrel), 523 nucleotides. Lineage: Eukaryota; Metazoa; Chordata; Mammalia; Rodentia; Sciuridae. The record is from RefSeq and is a predicted model, not a curated record.